This is a long non-coding RNA of Homo sapiens (human), 1513 nucleotides long. Ensembl annotates it as TBC1 domain family member 3 pseudogene 2. Its record names the gene TBC1D3P2. The record is from Ensembl. Lineage: Eukaryota; Metazoa; Chordata; Mammalia; Primates; Hominidae.
AGUGUUCUACAGCAGUUACACACAGGCAGUGGUAUCUGUGAGCAGCUCUGUGGACUCAAAGGUUUUCUCCCUGAGAGGCAUGACCCAGGCCAGCUGAUUCAUCAGAAUCAGGAUGGACGUGGUAGAGGUCGCGGGUAGUUGGUGGGCACAAGAGCGAGAGGACAUCAUUAUGAAAUACGAAAAGGGACACCGAGCUGGGCUGCCAGAGGACAAGGGGCCUAAGCCUUUUGGAAGCUACAACAACAACAUCGAUCACUUUGGGAUGCAGCAUGAGACGGAGCUGCCUCCUCUGACUGCGCGGGAGGUGAAGCAAAUUCGGCGGGAGAUCAGCCGAAAGAGCAAGUGGGUGAAAAUGCUGGGAGAAUGGGACACCUACAAAAACAGCAGAAAGCUCAUAGAUCGAGCGUACCAGGGAAUUCCCAUGAACAUCCGGGGCCCGAUGUGGUCAGUCCUCCUGAACAUUGAGGAAAUCAAGUUGAAAAACCCCGGAAGAUACCAGAUCAUGAAGGAGAAGGGCAAGAGGUCAUCUGAACACAUCCAGCAGAUGGACCUGGACGCAGCGGGAACUACUUUACAUCCUCCUGGCGUAUGAGGAGUAUAACCCGGAGGUGGGCUACUGCAGGGACCUGAGCCACAUCGCCGCCUUGUUCCUCCUUUAUCUUCCUGAGGAGGAUGCAUUCUGGGCACUGGUGCAGCUGCUGGCCAGUGAGAGGCACUCCCUGCAGGGAUUUCACAGCCCAAAUGGCGGGACCGUCCAGGGGCUCCAAGACCAACAGGAGCAUGUGGUAGCCACGUCACUACCCAAGACCAUGUGGCAUUAGGACAAGAAAGAUCUAUGUGGGCAGUGUUCGUCCUUAGGCUGCCUCAUCCGGAUAUUGAUUGAUGGGAUCUCUCUCGGGCUCACCCUGCGCCUCUGGGACGUGUAUCUGGUAGAAGGCGAACAGGCGUUCAUGCCGAUAACAAAAUCGCCUUUAAGGUUCAGCAGAAGCGCCUCACGAAGACGUCCAGGUGUGGCCCGUGGGCACGUUUUUGGAACCGGUUCGUUGAUGCCUGGGCCAGGGAUGAUGACACUGUGCUCAAGCAUCUUAGGGCCUCUAUGAAGAAACUAACAAGAAAGCAGGGGGACCUGCCACCCCCAGCCAAACCCGAGCAAGGGUCGUCGGCAUCCAGGCCUGUGCCGGCUUCACGGGGCGGGAAGACCCUCUGCAAGGGGGACAGGCAGGCCCCUCCAGGCCCACCAGCCCGGUUCCCAUGGCCCAUUUGGUCAGCUUCCCCGCCACGGGCACCUCGUUCUUCCACACCCUGUCCUGGUGGGGCUGUCCGGGAAGACACCUACCCUGUGGGCACUCAGGGUGUGCCCAGCCCGGCCCUGGCUCAGGGAGGACCUCAGGGUUCCUGGAGAUUCCUGCAGUGGAACUCCAUGCCCCGCCUCCCAACGGACCUGGACGUAGGGGACCCUUGGUUCCGCCGUUAUGAUUUCAGACAGAGCUGCUGGGUCCGUGCCAUAUCCCAG